RNAcentral lists this long non-coding RNA (1001 nucleotides) under Bos indicus x Bos taurus (hybrid cattle). Its description in RNAcentral is "lncRNA (ENSBIXG00005006890.1)". The record is from RNAcentral. Lineage: Eukaryota; Metazoa; Chordata; Mammalia; Artiodactyla; Bovidae.
CUCAAGUUUCAGAAAAGUCUCAUGACUUGUGUGAACUCUUUGGACUGUCCUUAUACAUUGACUGGUGUUACACAAGCUUGGAGUUAUAUAUGUAUUAAAAUUGACUCUGAGAUUUGUGAAAAUUUUGUUAAUCACUAGGACAUUUCCUAUCCACCCAUCAGUUGGAUAAGCUGAGUAAGCAUCAUCACCACUAUCUACCUAAUGUUCUGUUGGGCUAUGCUUAGUCAGUCAUGUCCAACUCUUCACAAUCCUAGGAACUGUAGCCCGCCACACUGCUCUGCCAUGGGGAUUCUCCAGGCAUGAAUACUGGAGUGAAUAGCCAUGCCCUCCUCCAGGGGAUCUUCCCAACCCAGGGAUCAAACCCAGGUCUCCCUCAUUGUAGGCAGAUUCUUUACCAUCUGAGCCACCAGUGAAGUCUGCAGCUCUAGGCAGUAGCAUCAGUCAUGUUAGAUACUCUUUCAUCUUUUCCAAACUCUACUUAUCUUACCUGUUCUUUAUUUUAGACCACUGUAUCACAUCUCAAGUCUCAAUCUUCAUAGAAACCACUGGAAGAUCUCGUAAAAGGCAGACUUGGAUAAGGUGUCCCGGAAAGACUGAUAUAAACAACCAAGGUGAGCAAAUAAAGCAGCCUAUCAUGCCCUGCUUUCACUGCUGACAAAAGGAGAGCAGAAUUAUAUGGAGUAUGACAGGAAUUAUGGAAGAAGUGUAUAAGGAGCCAUGUAACAGUAUAUUUCAGCAUCUGCAUAUUAAAUCUUCACAAGUUGUCAUCAAGUCAUCUGCUCUUUAAACGAUCUCUUAAGAAUGAGGCAAAAUAUGAGAAUCUCUGGUUGAAGAGACAAGAACUACAUGGACACAUAAUGCACGGUGUUCUCUCAAGGUACUGUAGUAAUUUAUAAUUGCAGGAUUGCAGAAAUCUGAUGUAGAAGCCUUUUACAGAAUAUGAACAAUGAGAGGGUGUUAUAGCACCCAGAGUUUACUAAACGGAUAUAGUUUUCUUUCCA